UUUAAUAUGGCAGAUCAGAGUGCAAUAGAUUUAAACUCUAUAUAUAAAGACCCCAUUCUUUUAUUAAA
Molecule: transfer RNA, 68 nt
Filed under: Colobopsis cylindrica s.l. AB
Lineage: Eukaryota; Metazoa; Arthropoda; Insecta; Hymenoptera; Formicidae
Description: tRNA-Leu
Rfam family: tRNA
About the family: Transfer RNA (tRNA) molecules are approximately 80 nucleotides in length. Their secondary structure includes four short double-helical elements and three loops (D, anti-codon, and T loops). Further hydrogen bonds mediate the characteristic L-shaped molecular structure. tRNAs have two regions of fundamental functional importance: the anti-codon, which is responsible for specific mRNA codon recognition, and the 3' end, to which the tRNAs corresponding amino acid is attached (by aminoacyl-tRNA synthetases). tRNAs cope with the degeneracy of the genetic code in two manners: having more than one tRNA (with a specific anti-codon) for a particular amino acid; and 'wobble' base-pairing, i.e. permitting non-standard base-pairing at the 3rd anti-codon position.
Source: RNAcentral